GGGCCCGUAGCUCAGCGGCAGAGCGCCCGACUCAUAAUCGGUGUUGUCGCAGGUUCGAAUCCUGCCGGGCCCACCA
This 76-nucleotide transfer RNA is filed under the name Bacillota bacterium. RNAcentral describes it as "tRNA-Ile". It matches the Rfam family "tRNA". Rfam says of the family: Transfer RNA (tRNA) molecules are approximately 80 nucleotides in length. The record is from RNAcentral. Lineage: Bacteria; Bacillati; Bacillota.